This 497-nucleotide ribosomal RNA is filed under the name uncultured bacterium. RNAcentral's name for it is "partial 16S ribosomal RNA". It matches the Rfam family "Bacterial small subunit ribosomal RNA", at positions 28 to 507 of the family's 1533-position model. The record is from RNAcentral.
GACGAGCGCUGGCGGCGUGCCUAAUACAUGCAAGUUGAGCGAUGAAGAUUGGUGCUUGCACCAAUUUGAAGAGCAGCGAACGGGUGAGUAACGCGUGGGGAAUCUGCCUUUGAGCGGGGGACAACAUUUGGAAACGAAUGCUAAUACCGCAUAACAACUUUAAACAUAAGUUUUAAGUUUGAAAGAUGCAAUUGCAUCACUCAAAGAUGAUCCCGCGUUGUAUUAGCUAGUUGGUGAGGUAAAGGCUCGCCAAGGCGAUGAUACAUAGCCGACCUGAGAGGGUGAUCGGCCACAUUGGGACUGAGACACGGCCCAAACUCCUACGGGAGGCAGCAGUAGGGAAUCUUCGGCAAUGGACGAAAGUCUGACCGAGCAACGCCGCGUGAGUGAAGAAGGUUUUCGGAUCGUAAAACUCUGUUGGUAGAGAAGAACGUUGGUGAGAGUGGAAAGCUCAUCAAGUGACGGUAACUACCCAGAAAGGGACGGCUAACUACGUG